RNAcentral lists this ribosomal RNA (468 nucleotides) under uncultured bacterium. RNAcentral describes it as "partial 16S ribosomal RNA". It matches the Rfam family "Bacterial small subunit ribosomal RNA", at positions 28 to 507 of the family's 1533-position model. The record is from RNAcentral.
GACGAACGCUGGCGGCGUGCUUAACACAUGCAAGUCGAACGGAAAGGCCCUGCUCUUGUGGGGCGCUCGAGUGGCGAACGGGUGAGUAACACGCGAGUAACCUGUCCCUGACUGUGGGAUAACAUUACGAAACUGGGGCUCAUAUCGGGUAGGAGCUACUGCAGCACGGUGGGGGUUGGUAAGUUUCGGCGUUUGGGGAUGGUAUCGCGGCUUAUCCGCUGGUUGGUGUGGUAGUGGCUUCCAAAGGCUGUGACGGAUAGCCGGCCUGGGAGGGCGACCGGGCACAUGGGGACUGAGGUACGGCCCAGUCGCCUACCGGAGGCAGUAGUGGGGAAUAUUGCGCAAUGGGGGGAAGCGUGAGGCAGCAACGCCGCGUGCGGGAUGACGUCCUUCGGGUUGUAAACCGCUUUCGCCUUUAACGAAGCGUGAGUGACGGUAAUGGGUAAAGAAGCACCGGCUAACUACGUG